RNAcentral lists this transfer RNA (77 nucleotides) under candidate division WWE3 bacterium. RNAcentral describes it as "tRNA-His". It matches the Rfam family "tRNA". Rfam says of the family: Transfer RNA (tRNA) molecules are approximately 80 nucleotides in length. Their secondary structure includes four short double-helical elements and three loops (D, anti-codon, and T loops). Lineage: Bacteria; candidate division WWE3. The record is from RNAcentral.
GUGGCUGUAGCUCAACUGGUUAGAGCACCGCCCUGUGAAGGCGGGGGUUGAGGGUUCGAAUCCCUUCAGUCACCCCA